GGGUUAAUGGCGCAGUUGGUAGCGCGCUCGCUUUGCAUGCGAGAGGUCAUCGGUUCGACUCCGGUUUAAUCCA
This is a non-coding RNA of Lachancea nothofagi CBS 11611, 73 nucleotides long. Lineage: Eukaryota; Fungi; Ascomycota; Saccharomycetes; Saccharomycetales; Saccharomycetaceae. The record is from Rfam.